GACAAAGUGGUCUAGCGGUUAGAACGCUGGCCUUGUAAUCCUGGGGUCUCGGGUUCGAUUCCCGGCGGUGCCC
Molecule: transfer RNA, 73 nt
Filed under: Zootermopsis nevadensis
Lineage: Eukaryota; Metazoa; Arthropoda; Insecta; Blattodea; Termopsidae
Rfam family: tRNA
About the family: Transfer RNA (tRNA) molecules are approximately 80 nucleotides in length.
Source: Rfam by way of RNAcentral